UACGAGGGGUGCGAGCGUUGCUCGGAAUUAUUGGGCGUAAAGGGUAGGUAGGUGGUUUCAUUUGUCUGGGGUGAAAGCCUUGGGCUUAACUCAAGAAGUGCCCCGGAAACGGUGAAACUCGAGUACUGGAGAGGGUCGUGGAAUUCCCGGUGUAGCGGUGAAAUGCGCAGAUAUCGGGAGGAACACCAAUGGCGAAAGCAGGUAACUGGACUAUUACUGACACUCAGCUGCGAAAGCUAGGGGAGCAAACAGG
RNAcentral lists this ribosomal RNA (253 nucleotides) under uncultured bacterium. Its description in RNAcentral is "partial 16S ribosomal RNA". It matches the Rfam family "Bacterial small subunit ribosomal RNA", at positions 524 to 776 of the family's 1533-position model. The record is from RNAcentral.